Molecule: ribosomal RNA, 460 nt
Filed under: uncultured bacterium
Lineage: Bacteria
Description: partial 16S ribosomal RNA
Rfam family: Bacterial small subunit ribosomal RNA
Source: RNAcentral
CCUACGGGGGACAGCAGUGAGGAAUAUUGGACAAUGGACGCAAGUCUGAACCAGCCAUGCCGCGUGCAGGAAGACGGCACUAUGAGUGGUAAACUGCUUUUGUACGGGGGUAAACGCAGAUACGCGUAUCUGUCUGACAGUAUCGUACGAAUAAGGAUCGGCUAACUCCGUGCCAGCAGCCGCGGUAAUACGGAGGAUUCAAGCGUUAUCCGGAUUUAUUGGGUUUAAAGGGUGCGUAGGCGGUAGGACAAGUUAGAGGUGAAAGCCCGGGGCUCAACUUCGGAAUUGCCUCUGAAACUGUUCGGCUAGAGUGUAGUUGCGGUAGGCGGAAUGUAUGGUGUAGCGGUGAAAUGCUUAGAGAUCAUGCAGAACACCGAUUGCGAAGGCAGCUUACCAGGCUACUUCUGACGUUGAGGCACGAAAGCGUGGGGAGCAAACAGGAUUAGAUACCCUUGUAGUC